Molecule: long non-coding RNA, 3152 nt
Organism: Callithrix jacchus (white-tufted-ear marmoset)
Lineage: Eukaryota; Metazoa; Chordata; Mammalia; Primates; Cebidae
Source: Ensembl
AUGCUCGCUCAGCGAAGUGACAAUGGGGAAGGGAGCAAGUGGCAGUGGCGGCGGCAGCCUAAGAGGCAGAAGGGGCGAAAGGGGCGAGGCCUGCGAAAGUUCCCCAUGCAAGGAAUUCCAUUUUAUGCCUGCAGACCUUGGGAAACUGGGAUUUCACAGGGUGGAACUGCGGGACGCCCUCCUCCCCAAAGCGCGGAGGACAGGAAGCACCAGACACAGGAGGUACCGAGGGCCCAUUUCCCGCUAGCCACCGGAGUUCAGUUCCACAGAAUUCGAACCCGACUUCCAAGAACCCACCACUGGCCCCUCUGUGGGAAAGAAAGGAGCACCCAGACUUCCUUCAAGAACUCCCAGACUGCUGCUUUCUCUUCAGUGUGUACUAUCUACUUCCAGACUGCUUUCCAGGCUCUUCCACUAGGUCUUGCUCUGACCUGAAGAGUGACUAAAGGAAGGUAGGAUUCAUGUUUGUUUUGGCUCUUAAUUGAGUACUGGAAGACAUUUAGGGGGCACCUAUUCUGCAAACACAGAACCAUCUUAAAUGUGUGGGAUAUGGAGUGAUCUUGGUGUUCUUCAGGGACACUUAUACUUCUUUUGGUGUUCUUCAGGGACACUUAUACUUCUCCCUUCAGGCUGACUGGUCAUGGAAAUCUAUUUUCUAGUCUUCAUUACUUCAGUUUGAGGCUCUAGCACUUGCUAAAUCACACAAACUUUUGAGAGGAUGUAUACUGUUAAGUUUUCUGCAGUCAACAUUCCUCAGUUCCUGCAGUCAGGAUUGACUGAACAUCUGGUAUGGAAGGUUGGGUAUUAGAAGCCAGGUAUAUGGUGAAGAGAGCAUAUCUGGUAAGCCCCCCUUUACAGACAUCAAAGGCAUACUUCCAGCCAUUUACUGAUGUUAGCUUUGCAGAUUAUGUAAUGGUGCAGGUACAGUGAACCUAAAAGUGCUGGGUUUUCAUGAAGGAGAGAAGGCAGGCCAAUCAGAUGAGAGGAGUGAAAGAAUGGUACCAAAAAGGUUUUUCUUGACAUUGUUUUUUCCAUCUGGAUUUUCACAGCUGGCUGCUUAAGCGCCAGGUAGGGAAUGAGAAACAUGUUUCUCUUCUGCUGCUUAUCUAAAGUUUCCUAAUUAAAGCAAAGCAUAUAUCAUGUAUAGUUUCUACAGGCAGAACUCAGCAUUUAGUCCAAUGACCUACUGAAAGAGAUAGCCCUUCACCUGGAAAACACUGCUUCUUAAGGCUCAAUGUCGCUCUCUAGAGAUGUUUUGAAAAUAGCAUCACAAUUGCUGACUUGGCAUCAGGAAUGGGGUGGUGAUGGGGUUGAUGAGAAAGAAUGUGUUUCUACUAUAAGUUAAAAUAUUUUAAAAAUAUUUGGAUGUCUGAUCUCCUUGGCUGCCAGAUUGUUAGUUCAACUUUCUCUUUAUUUUCACUAAAACUGAAGGCUUUUCUAAACACAGAAGGCAGAGUACCUCCUGACAUCUAGUACUAGGUUUUUUACCCUGUUGACUAAUGCUUUAGGGUUAAAACAGAAUAUAUUUUGGCCAUGUGGUUAUCUGAGAAAAACUUUUGGUCAUCUUUAGUAUGUGGAAAGAAAUUUUUUAUCCUUUUUUAAGGAUGGUGAAGGAUGGAAAUGAGAACCAGCUCCCUAGAAAAAUCUGCAAGACGGCCUGUGGGAUACAGAUACUUGCCUCCUAAAUGUAGGCAGACUGCUGAGUGUUUUAGAUCCAGUGAUUACACAAUCUGUUAUAACAUAAAUAGAUAUCAAUUUUAAGCUAAAAACGGAUUUUGCUAGUGGGUCAUGUGUAACAGCUCUCUCCAAAUGAAAAAAAAAUCUGAUUGUAGUUAACUAUGAGAUAUUUUAACAGACUAAAACUAUAAAAAAGAUUAAAGAAUCUGUUUCCCAUACUGUAUAUCUUUCUAAACCACAACCAAAACCAAACAGCUAUAUGUGGAUUAAUUUCUUGAAUAGUCCUGGGGAAGGUCUCAGUUAUGCUGGUGAUUAUAUCUGUAUAGAAAUAGUUGAGAACCAACACACUUAUUUUCUUAAAACUGUGCUUUUACUUUCAUGGAAAAUAACCCAUUGCACACUGAAUUGGGUUGUUUGGUAGACAAGAUUUUAGUCAGCACUAUUGUAGGGAAGAGUCAAAUUCUUGGCAGGGCCUGGAAAAGAGGGUCUGGGAUCUAUGGAUACUUCCAUAAAUAUACUUACCAGAUUUAACAUAUAACACACAAUAUAUACGGGAAUUACACAGUCUAUUUGGAAACAGCAGUAUUGCUAAUAUGCAAAGAAAUGAGAGAAAGGCUUUGGCCUAAGUUCCUGGAACAUUUGUGUGAUUGCUGUUUUGAGUUUCAGGAAUACUUCUGCAAAAGGUCUUUACCUUUCAGAAAGACCACUUAUCCCUACCCUACAGUGGUUUAGUUAAAUAAUUUAUAAUUUUCAGUUACAUUUAAUUACUUUUUCACCUCACUACUCUUAGAAAUGCCAUCUCAUAUUGAAUAAUGACAUUGUGUUUAUUUGUUGGGUAGACCAGUAAAGUCAAAAUAAAGGUUUUAAGUUUGCAAAUGUAGAAAACUGUUAUUUAAACAAUCAAAAAAGAAAGAAAAUAAGAGGACUUGAUUUAUGAUAUAGCAUUUAAUUAUGCUGUUUAAGAAUGUUUUUACAAAUUUAAAACAGAGUUUUCUAACCUGGGUCUGUGAACUACAGAUGAAUUGUUAGACUGCACAAGGUCUGUGAAUUUACUGAUAUGAUAAGCAGAAUUUCAAAUGUGUGUGCAUAUGUGCUCUUUGUUGGAUAUAGAUUUUUCUCACUUACAUGAGAUUGCCAAUGAUGUUCAAGAAUUUUAAAAAACCCAUUUAAAAACCACCAGUUUAUAGGAGCCAUGCAUGCCAAAUUUUAAGUUAAAAAAAAAAGAAUAUGUAGACAAUUUGUAAAAGUUGCCAUAAAAUUAAUUUUCUCCUAAAUGGUAAUUGAAGGAUAUCUGAGAACAUCUUUUCAAAUAAAUAUUUUUCUUAAGUGACUGUUACAAGCAAAGAAUGCAUUAUGCUUUCUUGGCAUAAUGUACUUGUUCCAAUAUUUAAGGCAUGGAGUUUGUCACACUGAGUAGUGACAUUCAUUUGUAAAAUUGAUAGCAUGAAAAAAUAGAACAAACUUGCUGUCUCAGG